This 253-nucleotide ribosomal RNA is filed under the name uncultured bacterium. Its description in RNAcentral is "partial 16S ribosomal RNA". It matches the Rfam family "Bacterial small subunit ribosomal RNA", at positions 524 to 776 of the family's 1533-position model. The record is from RNAcentral.
CACGUAGGGUGCGAGCGUUGUCCGGAAUUAUUGGGCGUAAAGAGCUCGUAGGCGGUUUGUCACGUCUGCUGUGAAAUCCCGAGGCUCAACCUCGGGCCUGCAUUCGAUACGGGCAGACUCGAGUGUGGUAGGGGAGACUGGAACUCCUGGUGUAGCGGUGAAAUGCGCAGAUAUCAGGAAGAACACCGGUGGCGAAGGCGGGUCUCUGGGCCACUACUGACGCUGAGGAGCGAAAGCGUGGGGAGCGAACAGG